RNAcentral lists this microRNA (23 nucleotides) under Hypericum perforatum. RNAcentral describes it as "Hyp-miR156a*". Lineage: Eukaryota; Viridiplantae; Streptophyta; Magnoliopsida; Malpighiales; Hypericaceae. The record is from RNAcentral.
UGUGCUCUCUAGGCUUCUGUCAU